RNAcentral lists this ribosomal RNA (492 nucleotides) under uncultured bacterium. Its description in RNAcentral is "partial 16S ribosomal RNA". It matches the Rfam family "Bacterial small subunit ribosomal RNA", at positions 29 to 507 of the family's 1533-position model. The record is from RNAcentral.
AGUGAACGCUGGCGGUAGGCCUAACACAUGCAAGUCGAACGGCAGCACAGUAAGAGCUUGCUCUUACGGGUGGCGAGUGGCGGACGGGUGAGGAAUACAUCGGAAUCUACUUUUUCGUGGGGGAUAACGUAGGGAAACUUACGCUAAUACCGCAUACGACCUACGGGUGAAAGCAGGGGGUCUUCGGACCUUGCGCGAUUGAAUGAGCCGAUGUCGGAUUAGCUAGUUGGCGGGGUAAAGGCCCACCAAGGCGACGAUCCGUAGCUGGUCUGAGAGGAUGAUCAGCCACACUGGAACUGAGACACGGUCCAGACUCCUACGGGAGGCAGCAGUGGGGAAUAUCGGACAAUGGGCGCAAGCCUGAUCCAGCCAUACCGCGUGGGUGAAGAAGGCCUUCGGGUUGUAAAGCCCUUUUGUUGGGAAAGAAAAGCAGCAGGUUAAUACCCCGCUGUUCUGACGGUACCCAAAGAAUAAGCACCGGCUAACUUCGUG